CGGGGGGCUGCAGGCGCGAAAAUUUUACAAUGCUCGAAAGAGUGAUAAAGGCAUCCAGAGUGCUUUCUCUUACUUGAGAAAGCUUUUGUUAUGUGUAAAAAGCAUUACGAAUAAGGGCUGGGCAAGACUGGUGCCAGCCGCCGCGGUAAUACCAGCGGCCCAAGUGGCAACCACAUUUAUUGGGUCUAAAGCGUUCGUAGCUGGUUCUGUAACUUCUUUGUGAAAUUGUAUAGCUUAACUAUACUACGUGCAAAGAAAACUGCAGAACUUGAGACCGGAAGAAGUAAAGGGAAUGGUUAGGGAAGUAGUAAAAUGCUAUAAUCCUAAUUAGACCACCAAUGGCGAAGGCACUUUACUAGAACGGGUCUGACAGUAAGGAACGAAAGCUAGGGGAGCGAACCGGAUUAGAUACCCUGGUAGUC
Molecule: ribosomal RNA, 422 nt
Filed under: uncultured microorganism
Description: bacterial SSU rRNA
Rfam family: Archaeal small subunit ribosomal RNA
Source: RNAcentral